GCAAGUGUAGUAUAGUGGUUUAAGUGUGACUAGGACUCCCGGAGGCCAGGGUUCAAAUCCCUGCUCAAUCA
Molecule: non-coding RNA, 71 nt
Organism: Phrynosoma platyrhinos (Desert horned lizard)
Lineage: Eukaryota; Metazoa; Chordata; Lepidosauria; Squamata; Phrynosomatidae
Source: the annotation of a GenBank genome assembly